CUCCCAAUCCCUGCCCCCUGGCAAGUGGCUGAUUAGAUAAUGAUUGUGGGAUCCUCGAUGGGGGCAUCUGUUGUCCCAUAUGAUCUUGGGAUUGACUUGAGGUUGAAAGCUGUGACUGUUGGGCAGAGGAUGAGGUAGUAACAGUAUGCUGAUGCUGCGAAAGAAUAUGGGACCUUUGAUGCAAAGUCUGAGGGCUAAUUUGAGGCCUUAGUGAUGGUGUUGGCAAAGGGGGUUUUCCUUGUGCUCCUGAAGAUAACCACGGCUGAUUCUGGGCUUUUGGACUUUGAGACAUAGUAUGCAAUUGGGAAGAAGGUAAUCCCACUGACUGAACUCUCAACAUGCCAUGGCCUUGAAAAUUCUGCAAUGGUAAAUAAAAAAGAAACAGAAAACCUCAAUAAUUUACAGCCAAAAACCAUGUGAAUAAUGAUCUACAAGCACAAUCUGAACAUAAACAACCAAAUAGUAGAAAAGGACAUACAGAGAAAUGUUUCUAUCUUGCAAGGAAAUACUAACCUGUGUAGCAGCAGACUGACUACUGAUGCUCGUCUGAGGUCUAAGAGAAGAGGCGACAGGUCUCAGCUGCUGAGGAACCCCUGCUGGCCGCAUUGGUGACGUUGAACCAAGUGAUCCCAUCAUUCCCAUCCCAUGCAUUCCUUGUACUGGCUGCCUCACCUACAGACAAUAUAGAAUCAGUUAAUAUCCAAUACAGAAUGUAAAGCAAGAACACAGGGGCGUAAAUGCACACAAAAGUAUGAAGUACCGAAACACCCAACUCAACAACAACAAAAAGCCCAGUAAUUUCCCACGAGUGGGAAUUGAGGAGGGUAAGAUGUACGCAACCUUACCCCUGCCCUGCAAGGGCAAAGCCUCUGAAAGACGGUAUAUAUCAGCAUUCAAACCUAUUCCUUCGUGGCUAGCCCGUUUCCGAUAGACCCUCGGCUGGAGAACGGAUGAAAAAAGUAAUAGCAACAAGUAGGAAUAACAACAAGAUAAAAUUAAGACCGAAGCCAAGAAAGCAGUUAAAUUCUAGGUACUAAUAUCAAUCAAUGAAUAAAAGGAUAUCAUACUAACACUAAUGCUAGCUAACUAAGUAAGACAAAGAGAAACAUUCGACUACCUACUAUCCUUCUGCCCUAAUGUUCGACCUCCGCACCCUUCUAUCUAGGGCAUGUCCUCAGUCAGCUCCAGCUGCGCUAUGUCCUGCCUGAUCACCUCUCCCCAAGACUUCUUAGGCCUACCUCUACCCCGCCUAAUACCCACUAAGGCUAACCUCUCGCACCUUCUAAUUCUGGACAUGGGAGUUUUUGACAAGCCAACACUCUACUCCAUACAACAUAGUUGGUCUAACUACUACCUUGUAGAACUUACCUUUAAGUCUCAGCGGCACAUUCUUAUCACAUAAGACACCGGAAGCGAGCCUCCACUUCAUUCAUCCUGCUCCGAUACGGUGCGUGACAUCCUCAUCAAUCUCCCAGUUAACUUGUAUUAUAGAUCCAAGGUACUUGAAACUCUCUCUCCUGGGGUGACCUGUGUAUCAAGCCUUACACCCAUGUCCGCUUCCUGGGUAACUUUGCUAAACUUGCACUCCAAGUACUCCGUCUUGGUCCUGCUCAGCUACACCUCCUCGAGUCUCGUCAAUCUGAACUAUGUCAUCUGCAAAUAACAUAUACUACGGCACUUCCCCUUGAAUGUGUCGCGUUAAUGCAUCCAUCGCCAACGAAAACAAAAACGGGCUAAGGGCUGAUCUCUUAUGCAACCCCAUCACAACCGAAACACCAAACUCAAAUAACCAUAUUCAUAAUUCAAUUAAAUAGACCCAACCACAUAAACCAGAAUAACCAAGAUCCAAAAAUCACCUAACAGUUCAUGAAUUAUGUUCCGGUGUUUUAACAGCGAUUCAGAAUACUUAAUCAUGCAUCCUGAAUUGUUAUCUAUUUGUCUUACUAUUUAGUACUCCUCUGGUCAUUUUUGUUUAUCAUUUGAAUUUUUCACAUACCCAUUAAAAAAUCGUUUAAUAGCAUUAUUCAUUAGGGGUAUUCAAUUAAAUUAGCAUGAUUUCUUCGUUAAAAGAAUAAGUAAUUAUGAUUGUAUGCCUUCUUGGAGUAGUAAGGGUAGAAUUGGAAAAAAUAUGUUAAUGUCUUCUUGUUUAUCUUAAAAUAUUAAACAGUAUGGAACAAUUUUUUUUGACCCAAACAUCAUGGCAUAGUCAAUUAUCUCUUAACUUAGUUAUGUUAGGCUCUUUCCUCCGCAUCUAAUGAUAGUACUUUAUAUUGUCUCCACAAUAAAAAGUGAGUGAACGGCUAAGACUGGACCCUGCAUGGUGGAUUCACAAUCCAGUGCCCGGAUCCUUUUGACUACAUCAGCCCUUACACCUUCACAUGUUAAAGUCUCAAAUUUGAUUCUCAUAUUACCCAAUAAUGUGAAUUUAAUAUGGUUAUAGCAAAUUGUUUGAACUCUAGACGUAGCAUGGUACUUAUCUUAAUUUUUUGUAAGGUGGUGUUCGGACCAGUUUGCACGCAUCUCAUCGAAUAAAUUUGUGCAGCUUUUUUGCCUUUGAUUGAUGGGAUUUAAACUUUGAACUUUCAUGGUCUUCAUUUCUCUUUAUCUACCCCUAAGCCACAGGCUUGGAUGCUCCUCUAAUCUUUUUUCAGUAAUUUUACUGCUUAGCUUCUCUUGUUUAAAUAUCACGAAUGAUCUUCAGGACCUACUCCUAGUGGAUUAGUUUAUAAAUUAGGCUGCAAUUGCAAACUUGUUGCUUUUGCAGGAACUAAAACAUCUAAUACGCAAAAAAAUUAAUUGCAAUUGCAUUCACAUAGGAAAAGGAUGCACCCAAUUUACACGACACUAUUUCAUUAUUAGUCCGUUCCAGAAAGCAUGACACGUUUCUAUAUAGACUAACAAUUUAAGUUUAAACUUUCCAUUUUACUUUAAUAAGAAGCUUUUAUAGCCAUACAAAUGUUAAUACAUGUUCAAGACAAUAAAUUUCAAAAGUUUUACUUUCUUUCUUAAACUCUUAGUGGAGUCAAACUAUAUCACAUAAAUUGAAACGAAAGGAAUAAUAAGAAAGUGAAAAUUGAAUAAUACCUGUGAGGCAGUUGAGCUGGGGGCAGAAGAAUCAGGCAAAUUGCGACCAAAUUGCUGCCCAAAAGAAGGCGGCGGCGGAGUCAAUGAGGAGAAAGAGGUAGGAGGGUGAUGAGCAGGUACUCCCAUGGCCAUUCCACCACCUCCUCUAGGGUUUUGCAUAGAAAGGGAAGAAGACGAAGAAGUAAUCGAAGAAGAUGAUGAUGAGUGAGGUGGCGGCGGCGGCGGUGGAGGAGGUAAAGAGAAGUGUUGAAAAGGUGAAGGCUGUUGCCAUGGCCUGUUAAAGGGUUGUCUUGUUUGAGCAUUUUGUAAAGUGGGUGUUAAAGGGUUUUGCUGUUGAGUAGAUGUGGCGGCUGCAGCUGCGGCGGCGAUGGUAGUGGUGGUGGUAGGGUUUAGGUUUUGUGGUGGUUGUGAUUGUACUACUGAGGUAGUGGUUGUUGUAGUAGACGGGAGUUGACUGGUUGCGGCGGCGGAGGAGGAAGGUGGUGGAGGCGGAGAUGGUGGUGGAAGCUGUUGUUGUUCAGUUGGCUGUGAAGUGGACGUCGACGGCGGCGGUGUCGGCGGU
Molecule: long non-coding RNA, 3646 nt
Filed under: Nicotiana tabacum (common tobacco)
Lineage: Eukaryota; Viridiplantae; Streptophyta; Magnoliopsida; Solanales; Solanaceae
Description: long non-coding RNA (NTAB_LNC000179)
Source: RNAcentral